ACGAGAAAGUGGAGCAAUCCAUGAGUACAGUGGCGUACGGGUGAGUAACACGUGACUACCUACCCUCGAGUGGGGAAUAACCUCGGGAAACCGGGGCUAAUACCGCAUAACAUCUACGGAUCAAAUGCGUAAGCAGCUUGAGGAGGGGGUCGCGGCCGAUUAGCUAGUUGGUGAGGUAAUGGUCCACCAAGGCAAUGAUCGGUAGCCGGCCUGAGAGGGCGCACGGCCACACUGGAACUGAAACACGGUCCAGACUCCUACGGGAGGCAGCAGUGGGGAAUUUUGCGCAAUGGGGGAAACCCUGACGCAGCAACGCCGCGUGGAGGAUGAAGCCCCUUGGGGUGUAAACUCCUUUCGAUCGGGACGAUUAUGACGGUACCGGAUGAAGAAGCACCGGCUAACUCUGUGCCAGCAGCCGCGGUAAUACAGAGGGUGCAAGCGUUGUUCGGAAUUAUUGGGCGUAAAGGGUGCGUAGGCGGUGCGGUAAGUCUCUUGUGAAAUCUCCGGGCUCAACUCGGAGCCUGCAAGGGAAACUGCCGUGCUUGAGUGUGGGAGAGGUGAGUGGAAUUCCCGGUGUAGCGGUGA
This 585-nucleotide ribosomal RNA is filed under the name uncultured Acidobacteriota bacterium. RNAcentral's name for it is "bacterial SSU rRNA". It matches the Rfam family "Bacterial small subunit ribosomal RNA", at positions 66 to 684 of the family's 1533-position model. Lineage: Bacteria; Pseudomonadati; Acidobacteriota. The record is from RNAcentral.